UCUGUGGUCCGUCUAAUUAGUCUCCGCGUCGUUCCCCAUUUUUCCUGGAAUCCCCUCGUCUCCGCUCCCUCGCCGGCCACCACGCCCUCACCCACGCCGCUCGCUGCCGCUCCCUCCUCCCGGUCCACCCUCCUGCCGACGUCACGCCUCCAUCCACGCACUCUUCGGUCACUUCUCCGCCUCCCUCGCCUCUCCGCAUCCAGCUCUUGCCGAGCUUCCGUCCUAAAAAUUAAAUCUUGGCCGUGGUUGGGCUUGCCGAGCGGUGGCGGAAGUGAAGAGAUCCGGUGGAGGGGAAGCUCGUCCGGUGGCGCAGAAGCUCGAUCCGGCAGGGCAACUGCAGAGAUGGUGGACGCGGAGGCGAUGGCGGUGGUCAGGGACGGGUGCACGUGGCGGGGUGGCUCGUCCGCGCCGUCGACAUGGAGGAACUCUGCCUUGCCGUGCACGACGAGAUGUUGCCCGGUGGAUGGCGAGGCUGGAUCUCAGCUCCACCAUCCUUUGCUUCCUGAAGAUCAAAGAUGAUACACAGCUGCCCAAAGCAGUGCCCUUCCCUUGCACCAUCACCACCUUCAACAACUCAUGUGGCUGGUAAAUCUGCAUCCCAAGCCAAGGCUCUCCCUUCAACAGAACACAUUCAUGUAAAAUUGUUAUGGAGCAACAAAGACCAAAGAACACAUGGAGCAAUAAAAAUGUAUGAGCUUGACCAUCUGGAUUGUUUUAGAUUCUGGAAGCCUUCAUGCUUCAUUGGCAGAGGCUUCAUUCCUCAUUGGACUAGGGGAGAACAGGGAGCAGCGGGACGCGGUGGCCUGGAGCUCGCCUAGAGCAGAGGAACGAGGAGGACGCGGGGGGCUUGUCGGAGGACGACUUGCGGCUGCCCUUGGCGUCGGAGGUGCUGGCGUUGCGGGGAAGCUGAUGCGUGGCCUUGACCGCCACCUUCGCGUGCUCAGCCUCGUGCCGCGACGCCGGCAGCGGCUGUGGAGGGGCAGGUCGUCGUAGCGGUCGGAGGUGGUCCGGGCGGAGGGACGGCGGCGGCGGCGGCGGCAGCAGGGCUCGCUCGGACCUGCUGGCCGGAGGAGAUGGUGGGGCAGCGACUUGUGGAGGCGGAGCUCGCCUGGGAAGACGAUCGGGAGUAGGAGGAGCUAGAAUUGUUAAUGUUUUACAAUGUGAAGGUCUUUUUUGUAAAAUGGCAUUUAGUUCAGACGAAAAUCUCCUGGCGUCAAUUUUUUUGGGGACGGAGGGAGUAGUAUCUAAUUAUCGGGAUAAGUAAAAUAAAGGAACUAUACAAACUCAUUUGUUUUUGGGUCUGUCUAUUGCACAGGCGAUUGUUUUUUCUUUUCAAAACAGUCACCUGUUAUUUUGUCGCCUGGUUUUUGAUAAAAACCAGUCACAA
Brachypodium distachyon (stiff brome) is the source of this 1387-nucleotide long non-coding RNA. RefSeq lists it as uncharacterized. NCBI's taxonomy places the organism in Eukaryota, Viridiplantae, Streptophyta, Magnoliopsida, Poales, Poaceae. The transcript has 4 exons. The record is from RefSeq and is a predicted model, not a curated record.